AAGUCUCAGGAUUGUGGCCGCGGGUGAGGUGGAUGGGAGAGGGGAGAAUGACUUUCACUGGGCAAGGGAGAGAGGCUCCUGCUCUGAGACUCCCCUGAGAAGAGGCCGAAGGAGGCCCUGGGUGUGAGAAUCUACAGGAUGUAGAGCUGGGAAUCAGCCGGGACCCCCUCCAGCAGACACGGAGGGACCACUGCAGAGUCAUAAAGGAAUUCCCAUCAUUUCCUCAUGAGACAGUCACA
Molecule: long non-coding RNA, 239 nt
Filed under: Homo sapiens (human)
Lineage: Eukaryota; Metazoa; Chordata; Mammalia; Primates; Hominidae
Description: lncAB526.1
Source: RNAcentral